Oncorhynchus keta (chum salmon) is the source of this 852-nucleotide long non-coding RNA. RefSeq lists it as uncharacterized. The record is from RefSeq and is a predicted model, not a curated record. Lineage: Eukaryota; Metazoa; Chordata; Actinopteri; Salmoniformes; Salmonidae. The transcript is spliced from 5 exons.
GUGUUUCUGUGGACACUAGAUAAUCUGACUAACACACACACCUGUUUGACCUUGCUGUGACACUGUAGGACAUUUAUGUUACUUUUCUGAGUCAAUUCAGGUAGCAUUCAAUAUCCUGCAUGCAUUUUUUUAAACCAUGGCAACCAGCAUUGCAAAUAAAGAGAUGUGCAUAAAUAUAAUCAUCCUCUGUCUGUAGAUCCUUUCCCCUUAAUGUAUUUGUCAUGUCAGCCAGGCCAAUCUUUUCAAAGUAACAAUAGCUAGUUGAGUAAAAUAAGGAGUCUAUUGCUUCAUUCCUUGUUUCGUUUUUACUUGUUACCUGGUAAAUAACCAACAACCAUCGUGAGGAAACCGUCCAUGUAAGGUGAGGAAACCGUCCAUGUAAGGUGAGGAAACAGUCCAUGUAAGGUGAGGAAACCGUCCAUGUAAGGUGAGGAAACCGUCCAUGUAAGGUGAGGAAACAGUCCAUGUAAGGUGAGGAAACAGUCCAUGUAAGGUGAGGAAACAGUCCAUGUAAGGUGAGGAAACAGUCCAUGUAAGGUGAGGAAACCGUCCAUGUAAGGUGAGGAAACAGUCCAUGUAAGGUGAGGAAACAGUCCAUGUAAGGUGAGGAAACAGUCCAUGUAAGGUGAGGAAACAGUCCAUGUAAGGUGAGGAAACAGUCCAUGUAAGGUGAGGAAACAGUCCAUGUAAGGUGAGGAAACAGUCCAUGUAAGGUGAGGAAACAGUCCAUGUAAGGUGAGGAAACAGUCCAUGUAAGGUGAGGAAACAGUCCAUGUAAGGUGAGGAAACAGUCCAUGUAAGGUGAGGAAACAGUCCAUGUAAGGUGAGGAAACAGUCCAUGUAAGGUGAGGA